RNAcentral lists this long non-coding RNA (390 nucleotides) under Mytilus galloprovincialis (Mediterranean mussel). Lineage: Eukaryota; Metazoa; Mollusca; Bivalvia; Mytilida; Mytilidae. The record is from RNAcentral.
CUGCCCGCUAGACAUGUACACCUUACAAUCAUUCCAUACAACAAAUAUAGUAGACCUAUUGCAUAUGGUAUGAGAAAAACAGACCAAAACACAAACAUUUAACUAUAACCACUGAACCAUGAAAAUGAGGUCAAGGUCAGAUGACACCUGCCAGUUGGACAUGUACACCUUACAGUCCUUCCAUACACCGAAUAUACUAGCCCUAUUGCUUAUAGUAUCUGAGAUAUGGACUUGACCACCAAAACUUAACCUUGUUCACUGAUUCAUGAAAUGAGGUCGAGGUCAAGUGAAAACUGUCUGACAGACAUGAGGACCUUGCAAGGUACGCACAUAUCAAAUAUAGUUCUCCUAUUUCUUAUAAUAAGAGAGAAUUCAACAUUACAAAAAAUU